RNAcentral lists this long non-coding RNA (759 nucleotides) under Manihot esculenta (cassava). Its description in RNAcentral is "long non-coding RNA (MESC_LNC007756)". Lineage: Eukaryota; Viridiplantae; Streptophyta; Magnoliopsida; Malpighiales; Euphorbiaceae. The record is from RNAcentral.
UUGCAGUAAAAGUAAAAUGGGGGGUUUUGAGAUUGAUUUGAUUAAUAAACUACUAAAAGCAAUUAAAAUAAGUGAAUAAUAAAAGAAAAGAGAAAUAAAUAAUAAGAAAACUAUAGUUGAAGUAUUGGAUCCACUUUAGUCAUUGGGGUUGAUCACAGACACUUUGUUCUUUUGGGUUGAUUCAAUAGAUUAGUUUAUGGAGAUGGAAGACGCUUUUCACCACCAUUAUCUCUCCUUAUAAUUAAACCAAUUAGGAAACGUCCUGUAAUUAAUUACUAAUCAAUAAAUUGCCAAGGAACGUCAUUGGGCCUUAGGCAUCAAAACAAUUGUCAAUUGCAUUAAGAAAUAGAGAGAUCCAAUCCUAGCUAUCCAAACGUAUGGAGAUGACGCUAGAUCAUGCAAUUUCCUUGGGUUUUAUCCCAAGUGUUCUCAUGUAAGAAUAACCCAAGCAAUUACGGACUUAAAUUGUUCAAACUAAUAAAUAAUUAUUUUGCAAUAAAAAAUCAACGUAGAUUUCAAUAACAAAAUAUUAUGAGAAUUAAAUAUGAAAUUGCAUGAAUAUUGAAUUCCCAAAAUUAAACAAUAUUUGAUCAAGUCUCAUAAUCCAUUAAACAACUAAAGCUUCAACCAAUAUUCAACUAGAUGAAAGAAAUCAGCCACUCAUUGACUGAAUUAAAAACAGAAAAAUAAAAGAAAAAAAAGAAAAAGAAAAGGAAGAAAAAACCGAAGCCUUGCGCCGGACUGGAUGAAAUUGCCGAG